This 355-nucleotide ribosomal RNA is filed under the name Odontotermes feae. RNAcentral describes it as "partial 12S ribosomal RNA". Lineage: Eukaryota; Metazoa; Arthropoda; Insecta; Blattodea; Termitidae. The record is from RNAcentral.
GUAGUAUUAGUUGUGUUCUUGAACUUAAAGAAUUUGGCGGUAUCCUAUUCCGUUCAGAGGAAUCUGUCUCGUUAUCGAUAGUCCGCGUUGGACCUUACUUAGAGUUAUAUUUUUGGUUUGUAUACCGCCGUUUAUUGAUUAUCUUUUUAGAGUUCCUUAAUUUUCUGGUUUCUUUAAUUUGAUUUAUUGCAGGUCAAGGUGCAGCUUUUUCUAAGUGUAAUGAUGGAUUACAGUGUUAUGUGUUGUUUGGAUUGUUUAUUUUAAUAUUGACAUGAAAUUGGAUUUGGUUGUAAUGUCUUGUAAAUUGUUUUCAUGAUAGUUGGUUCUAGGAUAUGUACACAUCGCCCGUCGCUCU